RNAcentral lists this ribosomal RNA (524 nucleotides) under Shouchella patagoniensis. RNAcentral's name for it is "bacterial SSU rRNA". It matches the Rfam family "Bacterial small subunit ribosomal RNA", at positions 56 to 561 of the family's 1533-position model. The record is from RNAcentral. Lineage: Bacteria; Bacillati; Bacillota; Bacilli; Caryophanales; Bacillaceae.
UGCAGUCGAGCGGACAGAAGGGAGCUUGCUCCCGGAAGUCAGCGGCGGACGGGUGAGUAACACGUGGGCAACCUGCCCCUUAGACUGGGAUAACUUCGGGAAACCGAAGCUAAUACCGGAUAACACUUUUUCCUACCUGGGAGAAAGUUAAAAGAUGGCCUUUGUGCUAUCACUAGGGGAUGGGCCCGCGGCGCAUUAGCUAGUUGGUAAGGUAAUGGCUUACCAAGGCGACGAUGCGUAGCCGACCUGAGAGGGUGAUCGGCCACACUGGGACUGAGACACGGCCCAGACUCCUACGGGAGGCAGCAGUAGGGAAUCUUCCGCAAUGGACGAAAGUCUGACGGAGCAAUGCCGCGUGAGUGAGGAAGGCCUUCGGGUCGUAAAGCUCUGUUGUGAGGGAAGAACAAGUAUCGGUUGAAUAAGCCGGUACCUUGACGGUACCUCACCAGAAAGCCACGGCUAACUACGUGCCAGCAGCCGCGGUAAUACGUAGGUGGCAAGCGUUGUCCGGAAUUAUUGGGCGU